RNAcentral lists this ribosomal RNA (244 nucleotides) under uncultured anaerobic ammonium-oxidizing bacterium. Its description in RNAcentral is "partial 16S ribosomal RNA". It matches the Rfam family "Bacterial small subunit ribosomal RNA", at positions 439 to 674 of the family's 1533-position model. The record is from RNAcentral.
GGAGUUAGGAAAUGUAAGUUUGAGAAUACCAAAUUUACUUGACAAAAGCUCCAAAGGAAGCCACGGCUAACUCUGUGCCAGCAGCCGCGGUAAUACAGAGGUGGCGAGCGUUGUUCGGAAUUAUUGGGCGUAAAGAGCACGUAGGUGGAUUUGUAAGUCAGAUGUGAAAGCCUUCUGUUCAACGGAAGAAUUGCAUCUGAAACUGCAAACCUUGAGUAUAGGAGGGGAGAGUGGAACUUCUGGU